CGCGCGGUGACCGUCGAGGUGACCUGCACCUGGCUCCAUGGCGGAACCGGCUGGCACGGAUUAUUCCCCUCUCGGGAGAGGUCUGCAGCCGGGCUUCAGUGCUUCAGUUCGUGGCCUGGCAUUUUGUGAAGAGUGUCUUCAUCUCUGCAUCCCUAGUGCAACAGAGCAUGAUAAAAAUUCAAUAAAUAUUUAUUGAAGAGUCUUGUUGUCUUUUGGGAAAGGAACUCUAUGGUUACCUUUACUCUAAGUUAAAAACAACAACAACAACAACAACAAAAACACAAAACCCUGAGGCUCAGAAGAUAAAUAUUUGCUGAAGAUCACUGUGCUUAUUAGAUGGGUGUUACUGAUUCUUACCUCAGAGAAGAGAAUGUCAUGGAGACAAAAUGAUCUGCUUAGAGUUCUGCACCCCCCAGCAUGGAGAGCAGAGCGCAAAGAUUUCUUCCGGACUCUCACAUUCCCCUUGGAAUCCAAGAACUGGUCUACUGUCACAACACUUUAGUACCCUCUUAGAUGGGGAUCUCACUCUGUUUCCCAGGCUGGUCUCAAACUCCUGGCUUCAAGCAAUCCUCCUGCUUUGGCCUCCCAAACUUCUGGGAUUACAGAUAUGAGCCACCACGGCUGGCUGACAGGCACCAAAUUCUAGGAGAGGACUUCAAUAGACUCCCAAGGAGGCAGCAGAAACUGGGGUAAUCACAACGGUCAACAGCAGCAAAGGCAGCACUUUCUGA
Molecule: non-coding RNA, 731 nt
Filed under: Pan troglodytes (chimpanzee)
Lineage: Eukaryota; Metazoa; Chordata; Mammalia; Primates; Hominidae
Source: RNAcentral